This 298-nucleotide ribosomal RNA is filed under the name Pseudopachylus alticola. RNAcentral describes it as "partial 16S ribosomal RNA". The record is from RNAcentral. Lineage: Eukaryota; Metazoa; Arthropoda; Arachnida; Opiliones; Gonyleptidae.
GCAUAAUCAUUAGUUUUUUAAUUGGGGGCUGGAAUGAAGGAUAGAGGCUAAAAAGAUAAGUUUUUUUUAAUUAAUUUGAAUUUAAAUUUAAAGUAAAAAUGCUUUAAUUAUGUCUUGGGACGAGAAGACCCUAGAAGCUAAAAAUUAUAUGGAAAUUUUUUAUUGGGGCAAUAGAUUGAAGAAAUUAAUUUUUAAUUUGGAUUUAUGAAAAAAAAAAGUUACUCUAGGGAUAACAGCGUUAUGUAGCUAGUGAGUUCUUAUUAAAAGCUAUGAUUGCGACCUCGAUGUUGAAUUAAAU